CAGUAGCCGCGGGAAUACGGAGGGAGCUAGCGUUGUUCGGAAUUACUGGGCGUAAAGCGCACGUAGGCGGUUAUUCAAGUCAGAGGUGAAAGCCCGGGGCUCAACCCCGGAACUGCCUUCGAAACUAGAUGACUGGAAUCUUGGAGAGGUCAGUGGAAUUCCGAGUGUAGAGGUGAAAUUCGUAGAUAUUCGGAAGAACACCAGUGGCGAAGGCGACUGACUGGACAAGUAUUGACGCUGAGGUGCGAAAGCGUGGGGAGCAAACAGGAUUAGAUACCCCCGUAGUCCCUGUCUCUUAUAC
RNAcentral lists this ribosomal RNA (301 nucleotides) under uncultured bacterium. RNAcentral describes it as "partial 16S ribosomal RNA". It matches the Rfam family "Bacterial small subunit ribosomal RNA", at positions 509 to 807 of the family's 1533-position model. The record is from RNAcentral.